AGCGAACGCUGGCGGCAGGCUUAACACAUGCAAGUCGAGCGGGCGUAGCAAUACGUCAGCGGCAGACGGGUGAGUAACGCGUGGGAACGUACCUUUUGGUUCGGAACAACACAGGGAAACUUGUGCUAAUACCGGAUAAGCCCUUACGGGGAAAGAUUUAUCGCCGAAAGAUCGGCCCGCGUCUGAUUAGCUAGUUGGUAGGGUAAUGGCCUACCAAGGCGACGAUCAGUAGCUGGUCUGAGAGGAUGAUCAGCCACAUUGGGACUGAGACACGGCCCAAACUCCUACGGGAGGCAGCAGUGGGGAAUAUUGGACAAUGGGGGCAACCCUGAUCCAGCCAUGCCGCGUGAGUGAUGAAGGCCCUAGGGUUGUAAAGCUCUUUUGUGCGGGAAGAUAAUGACGGUACCGCAAGAAUAAGCCCCGGCUAACUUCGUGCCAGCAGCCGCGGUAAUACGAAGGGGGCUAGCGUUGCUCGGAAUCACUGGGCGUAAAGGGUGCGUAGGCGGGUCUUUAAGUCAGGGGUGAAAUCCUGGAGCUCAACUCCAGAACUGCCUUUGAUACUGAAGAUCUUGAGUUCGGGAGAGGUGAGUGGAACUGCGAGUGUAGAGGUGAAAUUCGUAGAUAUUCGCAAGAACACCAGUGGCGAAGGCGGCUCACUGGCCCGAUACUGACGCUGAGGCACGAAAG
Molecule: ribosomal RNA, 687 nt
Filed under: uncultured Alphaproteobacteria bacterium
Lineage: Bacteria; Pseudomonadati; Pseudomonadota; Alphaproteobacteria
Description: bacterial SSU rRNA
Rfam family: Bacterial small subunit ribosomal RNA
Source: RNAcentral